UACGAAGGGGGCUAGCGUUGCUCGGAAUCACUGGGCGUAAAGGGUGCGUAGGCGGGUCUUUAAGUCAGGGGUGAAAUCCUGGAGCUCAACUCCAGAACUGCCUUCGAUACUGGGAAGCUUGAGUUCGGGAGAGGUGAGUGGAACUGCGAGUGUAGAGGUGAAAUUCGUAGAUAUUCGCAAGAACACCAGUGGCGAAGGCGGCUCACUGGCCCGAUACUGACGCUGAGGUGCGAAAGCGUGGGGAGCAAACAGG
This 253-nucleotide ribosomal RNA is filed under the name uncultured bacterium. Its description in RNAcentral is "partial 16S ribosomal RNA". It matches the Rfam family "Bacterial small subunit ribosomal RNA", at positions 524 to 776 of the family's 1533-position model. The record is from RNAcentral.